Molecule: non-coding RNA, 192 nt
Organism: Cherax quadricarinatus
Lineage: Eukaryota; Metazoa; Arthropoda; Malacostraca; Decapoda; Parastacidae
Source: RefSeq, a predicted model, not a curated record
AUCGCUUCUCGGCUUUUCCCAACAAGAUCAAAAGUGUAGUAUUGUUCUUUUUCAGCGUGAUACGAUAUGAUCCCCAUGUGGGGGUCUUCGAUAUUUUAAAAUGAUUUUUGGAUCAUGGCAAAGGCUAGGGGGUUUCUCCACCUUUGCUGCGGUCAGCCGGGUAUUGAUUUUCUCCGGGGUUGUCCCCCUCCC